This 251-nucleotide unclassified non-coding RNA is filed under the name plant metagenome. Its description in RNAcentral is "partial contains small subunit ribosomal RNA and internal transcribed spacer 1". The record is from RNAcentral.
AAAGUCGUAACAAGGUUUACCGAUGUCAGGUGGAACCACUGCGGAAAGGAUCAUUACAUUUAGUAGCCUAGCUGCUAUCAGUGGGGUUCGUUAGCCUGCAUAGCUUAAUCGCUGAUGAGCAGCAGACCCCCUGUUUGUACCCUUGUUUUUUGCGUACCAAGGUUUCCCUCGGCGGGCUUGCUCGCCGGAUGGACAAUACUAUAACCUUUUUAAUAUUCCAUCAGCGUCUGAAAAAACUUGAAUAAUUACAA